Molecule: ribosomal RNA, 2093 nt
Filed under: alkali sediment metagenome
Description: bacterial LSU rRNA
Rfam family: Bacterial large subunit ribosomal RNA
Source: RNAcentral
UCAAGCUACUAAGGGCGCAGGGUGGAUGCCUUGGUGCCAGGAGGCGAUGAAAGACGUGGCUAGCUGCGAUAAGCCUCGGGGAGCCGCUAAGCGGGCUUAGAUCCGGGGAUUUCUGAAUGGGGGAACCUGAUCCGCGUCAUGGCGGGUCAUCUAUUGCUGAAUACAUAGGCAAUAGAGGCGAACGGAGGGAACUGAAACAUCUAAGUACCUCCAGGAAAAGAAAGCGACAGCGAUUCCCUAAGUAGUGGCGAGCGAAAGGGGAACAGCCUAAACCGGCUUUGUGUGAUAGCCCGUAAGCGUUGCAGGGCCGGGGUUGCGGGGUUUUAUCGGAAGAGGUUACGGCCCCUUCGGAAAGUUACAAAACCUGUGUAUAAUUGAAUCUGCUGGAAAGCAGAGCCACAGAGGGUGAUAGCCCUGUAAGUGAAAUACACAGGACUUUCUGGAUAAAGCUUCCAAGUACUGCGGGACACGUGAAAUCCUGCAGGAAUCUAGGGGGACCAUCUCCUAAGGCUAAAUACUACCUGGCAACCGAUAGUGAACAAGUACCGUGAGGGAAAGGUGAAAAGAACUCCGGGAGGAGAGUGAAAUAGUACCUGAAACCGUGUGCCUACAAGCUGUGGAAGGACCAUGGAUGAGUGAAAGGGGUAACCCUUUUGUUUAUCCGGUCUGACUGCGUGCCUUUUGCAUAAUGAGUCAGCGAGUUACUCUAUGUAGCAAGGUUAAGCCGUAAGGUGGAGCCGUAGCGAAAGCGAGUCUGAACAGGGCGAUUGAGUUGCAUGGAGUAGACCCGAAACCAAGUGAUCUAUCCAUGGCCAGGGUGAAGCGCAUGUAACAGUGCGUGGAGGCCCGAACCGUUGUGGGUUGAAAACCGCUCGGAUGAGCUGUGGAUAGGGGUGAAAGGCCAAUCAAACUUGGAAAUAGCUGGUUCUCCCCGAAAUAUAUUUAGGUAUAGCCUUGUAACUUUAAGUACCGGAGGUAGAGCACUGAAUGGGCUAGGGGUCCUACCAGAUUACCAAACCCAACCAAACUCCGAAUGCCGGUAACUUCAAUUACAGGAGUCAGACUACGGGAGAUAAGUUCCGUGGUCGAGAGGGAAACAGCCCAGACCGCCAGCUAAGGUCCCUAAUACAUGCUAAGUGGAGAAGGAUGUGGAAGUGUACAGACAACCAGGAGGUUGGCUUAGAAGCAGCCACCCUUUAAAGAAAGCGUAAUAGCUCACUGGUCAAAUGAGUCUGCGCCGAAAAUGUAACGGGGCUCAAGCAUGUAACCGAAGCUGCGGACUUGCACCGCAAGGUGGGAGUGGUAGGGGAGCAUUCCAUGGUAGGUCGAAGCCGGACCGUAAGGACCGGUGGACGAGAUGGAAGAGAUUAUGCUGACAUAAGUAGCGAUAAAGUCUGUGAGAAACAGACUCGCCGAAAACCUAAGGUUUCCUGAGUAAAGCUAAUCUUCUCAGGGUUAGUCGAUCCCUAAGCCGAGGCCGACAGGCGUAGGUGAUGGGAAACAGGUUAAUAUUCCUGUACCACUAGAUCAGCGCUAUCAGCGAUGGGGGGACGUAGAAGGGUAGGCCAUCCAGGUGUUGGACGCCCUGGUUCAAGCCGGUAGGAGGAGAUUCCAGGCAAAUCCGGAAUCUCAUUCAACUCCGAGAAGCGAUGAGGAGAGAUUUUAUCUCGUAAACUGGCUGAUCCCAUGCUACCAAGAAAAGCCUCUAGUGAGCUGGUCUGGUGAUCGUACCGUAAACCGACACAGGUAGGUAAGGAGAGUAUCCUAAGGCGCUUGAGUGAUUCCUCGUUAAGGAACUCGGCAAAAUUACACCGUAACUUCGGAAGAAGGUGUGCCCGCACGCGUGAAGCGAUACGCACGUCGAGCGCGAGUGGGUUGCAGUGAAAAGGCCCAAGCGACUGUUUAGCAAAAACACAGGUCUCUGCGAAGUCGUAAGACGAUGUAUAGGGACUGACGCCUGCCCGGUGCUGGAAGGUUAAGGGGAUUUGUUAGCCGCAAGGCGAAGCUUUGAACCGAAGCCCCAGUAAACGGCGGCCGUAACUAUAACGGUCCUAAGGUAGCGAAAUUCCUUGUCGGGUAAGUUCCGACCUGCA